AUACUUGUCUGGCAGGAAAAAUACCAUGAUUACGAAGGUGGUUUUUCCAGGGCGAGGCUUAUCCGUUGCACUCCAGAUGUGCUGAUCUCUGCGAUUUUCCGAAAAGUGGGAAACUCAACUGCAUGAUUGGUGGUAGUGGGAGACUGCGUUCGCACUUUCCCCCC
Callithrix jacchus (white-tufted-ear marmoset) is the source of this 164-nucleotide small nuclear RNA. Its record names the gene U1. It matches the Rfam family "U1 spliceosomal RNA". From Rfam's summary of the family: U1 is a small nuclear RNA (snRNA) component of the spliceosome (involved in pre-mRNA splicing). The record is from Ensembl. Lineage: Eukaryota; Metazoa; Chordata; Mammalia; Primates; Cebidae.